CGCAACUAAAUAGAGCUGGAAAGAAUAUUUCCUUUUCUGUCAGUUUUAGAAUUCUUGUGCUUUAAUUUCAUUUGAGCUUCUAUUUGUUGCGGUGGUUUUGGUUUUAGGGAUUGGGUAGGGUGAAGUUCUCUCUCCCUUCUCACUCUCAACUGAUCGUUCAUCUCCUUCCUUUCUCACUCUUAGCCACAAUCACAGAUCUUCGUUGGUCAUUGCAACAUCCCUCCCUUAAUUCUCAGUUCAGUCGGCAGCCACAGGUCCUUAUUGAUCGUGCACCUCAAAUCCUCAUCAGCAUCACAAAUCUUGGAAGCAUCACAAAGAGCAGGUAUGAGCUCACAGCGUAGCAACUCUGAAACAGUCCUGGUUGCAUUUAAGAGCUCACACAUCACCUCUACAUACUUGUUCCAAGUUUCCAUUGCUCUUCUGUGUUUAUAUUCAUAAGCAAAUAUGGAGAAUUAUAUUCUUUACAUUCAGAUUGUCUUGAUGGGUUGUAUUUUGCAAAUCAGAUUGUGUAGAUGGAAAUCACUCAUUGAUUGUUUGGGAGAUUUUUCAAUUUUAAGAGUUCUAUUUUAUGUUCUUGAAAAUGAAGGGCGGACAAAAUGGAGGAGGUUAUUUUUGGAAUUAAAAAUUAGUCUCUCCAUUGCCUGACAUUUUCCCUUGACAGAUGAAUUUCCUAACAGAAGGAUCAAAUUACUAUAGUUUAAGAUAAUCAUAGACAUUUUAAUUGCCUCUAAGAAUAAUAAGGACUAAAUAGUUAAUUUUCCUAAAACCUAGAGACCCUACAAUAUUUUACCCUUAUACAUAUCAUGCAUAUAUUAGAUCCAAAAUUAAUUAAUUUAAAACCAAAACUAGUUCGAGAUCCGAGAUCAUGCAUAUGUUAAAUCCAAAAGCAAUUAAUAUAAAAACCCAAUCUAGUUCAAGAAUCAAGAGAUGAGAUGAGUUGCAUGCAAGCAUGUGAAGAUAAAAACAAGUGAAUAGCACCUUCAAUGAACUUGCAUGUUGUACAAUAAAAUGCCCAAUCACAUCUUUCCCCAAAUUUGCCCCACAAAGUGGACACACCUGAAAGCACAACAUUUAAGUCACCGUCAAAUUCAAGUAUCAAAAGAUAGCAUAAGGAAUUGAGUGCUCCAUUGCAAGAUGCCCAAUUAUUAUGCUUGCUAUGACCUUUGUCCCCUUAAACAAAUCAGGUUGAACAGUAUCCUUUAAGGCACUUUAUAAUCUGUCAUACUGGCCAGAAGAAGCUCCCAUUAGUUGGAAUGGGGGCCACGGCAGCUAGGGGGGACAAGAGAGUAUCCAUAUCAAUGGAACUUGAUGAUUAAUUCACUAUCAAAAAGCCUUGUUACUGAUGCUAAUACGAGUACAGCCCCCAGUUGAAGCCCCCAUGAGGAGGCUAAAACAGCUAGGUUGGACAAGAGAGGAUCCAUCCCAAUGCAAUUUGAUGAUUAUUAAACUAUUGAAAAGACUUGUUACCGAUGCCAGUUACAUCUAUACAUACAUAUAGAUACCGCCCACAAGCUUACACAUAGACACACACAUGCAGCUCAUAGAUAGCUAUGCCCCACAGGCAUACACAUACAAACUCACACAGUCACGGCCCCUAAGCAAUAUUACACACACCAUAUUGUCAUAUAAAAGGAAGCACAUACUGCAUUUUUUAAGUCAAAGCAGUGUUCAUUCUGCAGAUGGCUGCAGAGAACAUGGACUUCAAUGUCUACAUAGCAGAAGGGGCAUGGAAAGUAUGCUCUUGUAUCCUCAUCUCCAUCUGAAUCAUCCAUUGCCAAAUGAUCUGCUGAUACAUUGAACAACAGAAGAAAAGAAAAGUUACAUGGAUUAAAUAUUCAUCAAUCUAGCAGCAGCGACCAAUAAAGACCAGAAAAGAGGAUACCAUGGUUUUGAAACCAAGGAACACCUAGGAUUCCACUAACACAAGGCGACUGAUUCGAAUGCAAAUCAAAAGAGUGAAAAAUGGAAAAAAACAAAAAGGAAAAGAAAAAGAGAGACAGAGGAAAAUUAUAUCCAUUAUAGUAGCAGGAAGCCAGGACUGCAGGAGUGAUUUCAUGCGGAUACUUGUACAUAUACAGAUGAUUGCUAAGCUCCAACCAAACAUGUCCCUAACAAGUAAAUAUCAUUCUGCACUUUAACUACUCAGAAUUAAACAAAAACUUUAAUUCAUUCUCUAUAAUCGUUCAAUAUUCAAAUCUAGGAACAACUACUCAGAAUGAGAAACACAUUUUUCUUCUCUUUGUUUUUUGGUUCGCGAAAGAAACGAGCAACACAUUUGAAUCGACGUAAAAAUACCAGCACCCAGAGAAAUUUCCCAUGUGCAUUCUCAUAACUCGUGGACCACUUCAAACUACACCUGUUAUAGAACUUUUUUCCUUUCUAUAGCUCUCACUGAAAAUUCCCCAAAAUACAUGCAUUUAACACAUGCUAACUGGGCUAGUCAAAUGAAAGGUUUAACCUCUCAUCUUCACUGAAACUGGUUUCAUCUUUUGAUUUCUCAUCACAUUCAUCAUUGCAUUCUUCUACACCAUUGGCAUGAUAGAUAUUAGAUACUAGAAUAUUCUUGCUGUCCUGCAGAUGUUUUGAUUUUAAGGAACCGGAUGGCUUGAUCAAAAGGUUUGAAUUUUGGCUUGAAGGUUCUGAUUUUGCAUUCAGAAGAUUUGUUCUUUCCUUGGAAAACAACAAUCUCAAUGCCUCAAGUUCAUCUGAAGUUUACUGGAGUUUUGACAGAUCUAAACAAAUCUCAAAGAACUCCUCCCCUGGAUUCUGC
RNAcentral lists this long non-coding RNA (2770 nucleotides) under Manihot esculenta (cassava). Its description in RNAcentral is "long non-coding RNA (MESC_LNC008325)". Lineage: Eukaryota; Viridiplantae; Streptophyta; Magnoliopsida; Malpighiales; Euphorbiaceae. The record is from RNAcentral.